GACGAACGCUGGCGGCGUGCUUAACACAUGCAAGUCGUACGGUAAGGCCCUUCCGGUGGUACAUGAGUGAGGGACGGGUGAGUAACACGUGAGUAACUUGCCCACCACUUUGGUAGAACUAAAGGAAACUGACUCGGAUUCUUGACAGGUACUCCUGCUGCCUGCUGGGGGGGGGUAAGCUCGGGUGGUUGUGGGUGGAUUCGCGGGCUGUUUGUUUGUUUGUGGGGUAGUGGCCUACCUACGAGGCGUCGGGUGGCCGGCCGGGGAGGGUGGACGGCCAACAUGGGACUGGGAUACCGGCCAGACUCCUACGGGAGGCAGCAGUUGGGAAUAUUUCACAAUGGGCGCAAGGCUGAUGCAGCAAAGGCGGGUGGGGGGUGACGGGCUUCGGGUUGUAAACCGGUUUCAGCAUGUGCGAAGCUUUUUGUGACGGUACCUGCAGAAGAAGCACCGGCUAACUACGUG
RNAcentral lists this ribosomal RNA (465 nucleotides) under uncultured bacterium. RNAcentral's name for it is "partial 16S ribosomal RNA". It matches the Rfam family "Bacterial small subunit ribosomal RNA", at positions 28 to 507 of the family's 1533-position model. The record is from RNAcentral.